GUUAACACCGCGUACUCAGCUACGCCCGUGACUGCUCGCUCCUCCUCCAUUUCAAAGAGGACCGAACAGCGCAAAUGGGCGAAACCCAAACUUCCUCGCUCGAAAAAGACUGCAGUUGCAUCUAUGUUAACAAGAUCUUAUGAAGCUGCUGCACCUGAUGAUGCUUGCCUCUAUCAAAUUAAAGGUUUGAUUUCUUUCGGGAGGACCAACAGUGACUCACAGCAGAAAGAUACUGAAGAAAAGUCAAGUAUUUAGAUGCUAUCGAAGCUUCAUGCAAUUCUGCAUCCGUUCCUCCUAUGGCAUAGGAAAGUUGAUGUAGAGAAUAAUCUUCCAAUGAAAGAAAUAUAUUUUUCUGUAUGGAAAUAUGACUGAUCGUCAAAAGAAAAUCCAGGAUCGUUUAAUCAACAUAACACUUGAGGAUUAUGCCCCACAAAAAAAGCUGACAUGCGCUCAAGAUUCCAGACCAGGCAUGAGAUGGAGGUUGACUAAUUUGGUGAUUCAACUUUAGAAAGAACUAUGACAUCCGAUCUCUUAUAGUAUGUGAUUAUGAUUUUUUUUCUAGGAGUUGGGAUGUCUGUGUAACAUCAGUUCUUGCCAUAUUUACAGGUUUUUAUCCACCUGCGAAAUAAUUUGUAGAACAAUGUGUCAAAUUUCAGUUGUUACGCAGACCUUGCUAUCUGCACAAAAGCACAAAGCAUGUAUUUUAUUUUCAUGUGCAUUCAUGAAUUUAAUAAAUCAGAAUGACACUCAGGCCUUUUUGGAUUCUCCAUAUAUAUCAUUGAUUUCGUUGGUCCUUAA
Long non-coding RNA from Asparagus officinalis (garden asparagus), 798 nucleotides. RefSeq lists it as uncharacterized. The record is from RefSeq and is a predicted model, not a curated record. NCBI's taxonomy places the organism in Eukaryota, Viridiplantae, Streptophyta, Magnoliopsida, Asparagales, Asparagaceae. The transcript has 5 exons.